CCAUGACAACAAUUAAUUUAUUUAUUGAGGGUGAGGCAGGGAAGCGGGGAGGGAGGGUAGGGGUGACCUCUCUUCCUCACAGGCACCAGGCCUUGUUUCUCUCCCAGAUAAGCUAAGGUCGGCAGGGGCUGAGGGGAGUGAGGCAGGGAGGAUGCAUGGGGCCUGUGGGAAUCAGAGAGAAGCUGGGGUCAGAGGUAGGAGCUGGGGCUCAGGUGGGGGGUUAAAGGUGAGGCAAGGUCAGCGGUGAAGUGCAGCUCAGAGGGAGGGGUCAAACAUAAACCAGAACUUAUAGGUCU
This is a long non-coding RNA of Homo sapiens (human), 296 nucleotides long. NCBI's taxonomy places the organism in Eukaryota, Metazoa, Chordata, Mammalia, Primates, Hominidae. The record is from Ensembl.